CUGCACCAGGCUCAGGUGUGAUACACUACCUGCUGGAGCUGAAUGCUCUGAAACUUUAAGGAGACUGGGCAGACCUGAGAAUAGAAUUAAGGAACGGGAAGACAGAGCUGUGGAAUCACACAGAAAACAGACUGGCAAGAGGAGAGAGAAGCACAAAGAAGUUAAAUGGAAAGAAAAGCAGAUGGAGGAGAUGGAUUCACACACCUAGCUGGAGUUCCGACAGGAAUGAGUAAUGAGAAUUGGGCAAAAAAAAAAAAAUCAAAAAUAUAAUAACUGAAAAAAUUUUUAUUGAAAAAAUAUGUGAAUUUUCAGAUUGAAAUACUGUCCUGAGUGCUGAGAAAAACAAAAACAGAUACAAAUAAAAUCUACAUUUAGACAGAGUGUUCUAAAAUUAAAAUGAACGUUAAAA
Long non-coding RNA from Nycticebus coucang (slow loris), 409 nucleotides. RefSeq lists it as uncharacterized. Lineage: Eukaryota; Metazoa; Chordata; Mammalia; Primates; Lorisidae. The record is from RefSeq and is a predicted model, not a curated record. The transcript is spliced from 2 exons.